RNAcentral lists this transfer RNA (73 nucleotides) under Candidatus Enterococcus moelleringii. RNAcentral's name for it is "tRNA-Gln". It matches the Rfam family "tRNA". Rfam says of the family: Transfer RNA (tRNA) molecules are approximately 80 nucleotides in length. Their secondary structure includes four short double-helical elements and three loops (D, anti-codon, and T loops). Further hydrogen bonds mediate the characteristic L-shaped molecular structure. tRNAs have two regions of fundamental functional importance: the anti-codon, which is responsible for specific mRNA codon recognition, and the 3' end, to which the tRNAs corresponding amino acid is attached (by aminoacyl-tRNA synthetases). tRNAs cope with the degeneracy of the genetic code in two manners: having more than one tRNA (with a specific anti-codon) for a particular amino acid; and 'wobble' base-pairing, i.e. permitting non-standard base-pairing at the 3rd anti-codon position. Lineage: Bacteria; Bacillati; Bacillota; Bacilli; Lactobacillales; Enterococcaceae. The record is from RNAcentral.
UGGGAUAUAGCCAAAUUGGUAAGGCACCUGACUCUGAAUCAGGCAAUUACAGGUUCGAACCCUGUUAUCCCAA